UACGGAAGGCAGCAGUGGGGAAUAUUGCACAAUGGGCGCAAGCCUGAUGCAGCCAUGCCGCGUGUAUGAAGAAGGCCUUCGGGUUGUAAAGUACUUUCAGUCGUGAGGAAGGUGUUAAGGUUAAUAACCUUAGCAAUUGACGUUAGCGACAGAAGAAGCACCGGCUAACUCCGUGCCAGCAGCCGCGGUAAUACGGAGGGUGCGAGCGUUAAUCGGAAUUACUGGGCGUAAAGGGCACGCAGGCGGUUAAUUAAGUUGGAUGUGAAAUCCCCGGGCUUAACCUGGGAAUGGCAUUCAAGACUGGUUAGCUAGAGUCUUGUAGAGGGGGUAGAAUUCCAUGUGUAGCGGUGAAAUGCGUAGAGAUGUGGAGGAAUACCGGUGGCGAAGGCGGCCCCUGGGACAAGACUGACGCUCAUGUGCGAAAGCGUGGGGAGCAAACAGGAUUUAGAUACC
This 453-nucleotide ribosomal RNA is filed under the name uncultured bacterium. Its description in RNAcentral is "bacterial SSU rRNA". It matches the Rfam family "Bacterial small subunit ribosomal RNA", at positions 340 to 786 of the family's 1533-position model. The record is from RNAcentral.